This 497-nucleotide ribosomal RNA is filed under the name uncultured bacterium. RNAcentral's name for it is "partial 16S ribosomal RNA". It matches the Rfam family "Bacterial small subunit ribosomal RNA", at positions 28 to 507 of the family's 1533-position model. The record is from RNAcentral.
GAUGAACGCUGGCGGCGUGCCUAAUACAUGCAAGUCGAGCGAACAGACGAGGAGCUUUCUCCUCUUACGUUAGCGGCGGACGGGUGAGUACCACGUGGAUAACCUACCUAUAAGACUGGGAUACCUUCGGGAAACCUGAUCUAAUACCGGAUAAUAUAUUGAACCGCAUGGUUCAAUAGUGAAAGACGGUUUUGCUGUCACUAAUAGAUGGAUCCGCGCCGCAUUAGCUAGUUGGUAAGGUAACGGCUUACCAAGGCGACGAUGCGUAGCCGACCUGAGAGGGUGAUCGGCCACACUGGAACUGAGACACGGUCCAGACUCCUACGGGAGGCAGCAGUAGGGAAUCUUCCGCAAUGGGCGAAAGCCUGACGGAGCAACGCCGCGUGAGUGAUGAAGGUCUUCGGAUCGUAAAACUCUGUUAUUAGGGAAGAACAAAUGUGUAAGUAACUAUGCACGUCUUGACGGUACCUAAUCAGAAAGCCACGGCUAACUACGUG